This 66-nucleotide transfer RNA is filed under the name Eristalis cerealis. RNAcentral's name for it is "tRNA-Pro". The record is from RNAcentral. Lineage: Eukaryota; Metazoa; Arthropoda; Insecta; Diptera; Syrphidae. RNAcentral also lists the same sequence under 1 other name.
CAAGAAGUAGUUUAAUUAAAAUAUUAAUUUUGGAGAUUAAUGAUAAAGAUUUAUCUUUUUUCUUGA